CCUACGGGAGGCAGCAGUGGGGAAUAUUGCGCAAUGGACGAAAGUCUGACGCAGCGACGCCGCGUGAGGGAUGAAGGUUUUCGGAUCGUAAACCUCUGUCAGGAGGGAAGAAAGCGUAUGGCGCCAAUCAGCCAUGCGUUGACGGUACCUCAAAAGGAAGCGACGGCUAACUCCGUGCCAGCAGCCGCGGUAAUACGGAGGGCGCGAGCGUUAAUCGGAAUUACUGGGCGUAAAGCGCGCGUAGGCUGGUGUGUAAGUUGGGGGUGAAAGCCGACGGCUCAACCGCUGACCAGCCCUUGAUACUGCGCGACUUGAAUGCGCGAGAGGGUGGCGGAAUUCCAGGUGGAGGAGUGAAAUCCGUAGAUAUCUGGAGGAACAUCAGUGGCGAAGGCGGCCACCUGGACCGGUAUUGACGCUGAGGCGCGAAAGCGUGGGGAGCAAACAGGAUUAGAUACCCUGGUAGUC
This 465-nucleotide ribosomal RNA is filed under the name uncultured bacterium. RNAcentral's name for it is "partial 16S ribosomal RNA". It matches the Rfam family "Bacterial small subunit ribosomal RNA", at positions 338 to 795 of the family's 1533-position model. The record is from RNAcentral.